Non-coding RNA from Kwoniella shandongensis, 66 nucleotides. The record is from the annotation of a GenBank genome assembly. Lineage: Eukaryota; Fungi; Basidiomycota; Tremellomycetes; Tremellales; Cryptococcaceae.
GGUGCGAUGGUGUAGUUGCAGCACGGCUUUUCAUAGCAGGUCAUGGGUUCGAAUCCCUGUCCACCC